RNAcentral lists this ribosomal RNA (697 nucleotides) under uncultured Pseudomonadota bacterium. RNAcentral's name for it is "bacterial SSU rRNA". It matches the Rfam family "Bacterial small subunit ribosomal RNA", at positions 62 to 748 of the family's 1533-position model. Lineage: Bacteria; Pseudomonadati; Pseudomonadota. The record is from RNAcentral.
UCGAACGGUAACAGGAAGCAGCUUGCUGCUUCGCUGACGAGUGGCGGACGGGUGAGUAAUGUCUGGGAAACUGCCUGAUGGAGGGGGAUAACUACUGGAAACGGUAGCUAAUACCGCAUAACGUCGCAAGACCAAAGAGGGGGACCUUCGGGCCUCUUGCCAUCGGAUGUGCCCAGAUGGGAUUAGCUAGUAGGUGGGGUAACGGCUCACCUAGGCGACGAUCCCUAGCUGGUCUGAGAGGAUGACCAGCCACACUGGAACUGAGACACGGUCCAGACUCCUACGGGAGGCAGCAGUGGGGAAUAUUGCACAAUGGGCGCAAGCCUGAUGCAGCCAUGCCGCGUGUAUGAAGAAGGCCUUCGGGUUGUAAAGUACUUUCAGCGGGGAGGAAGGGAGUAAAGUUAAUACCUUUGCUCAUUGACGUUACCCGCAGAAGAAGCACCGGCUAACUCCGUGCCAGCAGCCGCGGUAAUACGGAGGGUGCAAGCGUUAAUCGGAAUUACUGGGCGUAAAGCGCACGCAGGCGGUUUGUUAAGUCAGAUGUGAAAUCCCCGGGCUCAACCUGGGAACUGCAUCUGAUACUGGCAAGCUUGAGUCUCGUAGAGGGGGGUAGAAUUCCAGGUGUAGCGGUGAAAUGCGUAGAGAUCUGGAGGAAUACCGGUGGCGAAGGCGGCCCCCUGGACGAAGACUGACGCUC